GAGCGGCGGACGGGUGAGUAAUGCCUAGGAAUCUGCCUAGUGGUGGGGGAUAACGUUCGGAAACGGACGCUAAUACCGCAUACGUCCUACGGGAGAAAGCGGGGGACCUUCGGGCCUCGCGCCAUUAGAUGAGCCUAGGUCGGAUUAGCUAGUUGGUGAGGUAAUGGCUCACCAAGGCUACGAUCCGUAACUGGUCUGAGAGGAUGAUCAGUCACACUGGAACUGAGACACGGUCCAGACUCCUACGGGAGGCAGCAGUGGGGAAUAUUGGACAAUGGGCGAAAGCCUGAUCCAGCCAUGCCGCGUGUGUGAAGAAGGUCUUCGGAUUGUAAAGCACUUUAAGUUGGGAGGAAGGGUAGUAACUUAAUACGUUGCUACUUUGACGUUACCGACAGAAUAAGCACCGGCUAACUUCGUGCCAGCAGCCGCGGUAAUACGAAGGGUGCAAGCGUUAAUCGGAAUUACUGGGGCGUAAAAGCGCGCGUAGGUGGUUCCAGUAAGUUGAAUGUGAAAUCCCCCGGGCUCAACCCUGG
This 533-nucleotide ribosomal RNA is filed under the name Pseudomonadales bacterium HD-I-03-12. Its description in RNAcentral is "bacterial SSU rRNA". It matches the Rfam family "Bacterial small subunit ribosomal RNA", at positions 93 to 618 of the family's 1533-position model. Lineage: Bacteria; Pseudomonadati; Pseudomonadota; Gammaproteobacteria; Pseudomonadales. The record is from RNAcentral.